Molecule: ribosomal RNA, 303 nt
Filed under: uncultured bacterium
Lineage: Bacteria
Description: partial 16S ribosomal RNA
Rfam family: Bacterial small subunit ribosomal RNA
Source: RNAcentral
AGCAGCCGCCACGGUAAUACGGAGGGUGCAAGCGUUAAUCGGAAUUACUGGGCGUAAAGCGCACGCAGGCGGUCUGUCAAGUCAGAUGUGAAAUCCCCGGGCUUAACCUGGGAACUGCAUUUGAAACUGUCAGGCUGGAGUCUUGUAGAGGGGGGUGGAAUUCCAGGUGUAGCGGUGAAAUGCGUAGAGAUCUGGAGGAAUACCGGUGGCGAAGGCGGCCCCCUGGACAAAGACUGACGCUCAGGUGCGAAAGCGUGGGGAGCAAACAGGAUUAGAUACCCGCGUAGUCCCUGUCUCUUAUAC